Molecule: ribosomal RNA, 912 nt
Filed under: uncultured archaeon
Lineage: Archaea
Description: bacterial SSU rRNA
Rfam family: Archaeal small subunit ribosomal RNA
Source: RNAcentral
UCCGGUUGAUCCUGCCGGACCUGACUGCUAUCGGAUUGGUACUAAGCCAUGCGAGUCAUUGUAGCAAUACAAGGCGGACGGCUCAGUAACACGUAGUCAACCUAACUCGUGGACGUGGAUAACCUCGGGAAACUGAGAAUAAACCACGAUAGAUCAUAGUGCCUGGAAUGGCUUAUGGUCCAAACAGUUUACUGCCAUGGGAUGGGACUGCGGCCUAUCAGCUUGUUGGUGAGGUAAUGGCCCACCAAGGCGAUUACAGGUACGGGCUCUGAGAGGAGAAGCCCGGAGAUGGGUACUGAGACACGGACCCAGGCCCUAUGGGGCGCAGCAGGCGAGAAACCUUAGCAAUGUGCGAAAGCACGACUGGGUCAGUCCGAGUGAUUCCUGAUAAAGGAGUCUUUUGCUUGUCCUAAAAGCACAGGUGAAUAAGGGGUGGGCAAGUCUGGUGUCAGCCGCCGCGGUAAUACCAGCACCUCGAGUGGUCAGGACGUUUAUUGGGCCUAAAGCAUCCGUAGCCGGCUUUGCAAGUCUUCGGUUAAAUCCACCUGCUCAACAGAUGGGCCGCUGGAGAUACUACAAAGCUAGGGAGUGGGAGAGGCAGACGGUAUUCAGUGGGUAGGGGUAAAAUCCUCUGAUCCAUUGAGGACCACCAGUGGCGAAGGCGGUCUGCCAGAACACGUUCGACGGUGAGGGAUGAAAGCUGGGGGAGCAAACCGGAUUAGAUACCCGGGUAGUCCCAGCUGUAAACGAUGCAAACUCGGUGAUGCAUUGGCUUAUGGCCAAUGCAGUGCCGCAGGGAAGCCGUUAAGUUUGCCGCCUGGGAAGUACGGACGCAAGUCUGAAACUUAAAGGAAUUGGCGGGGGAGCACCACAAGGGGUGAAGCCUGCGGUUCAAUUGGACUCAACGCCGGG